RNAcentral lists this ribosomal RNA (466 nucleotides) under uncultured bacterium. Its description in RNAcentral is "bacterial SSU rRNA". It matches the Rfam family "Bacterial small subunit ribosomal RNA", at positions 917 to 1382 of the family's 1533-position model. The record is from RNAcentral.
GGGCCCGCACAAGCGGUGGAGCAUGUGGUUUAAUUCGAUGCAACGCGAAGAACCUUACCACCCCUUGACAUCCUGCGAACUUUCUAGAGAUAGAUUGGUGCCUUCGGGAGCGCAGAGACAGGUGCUGCAUGGCUGUCGUCAGCUCGUGUUGUGAAAUGUUGGGUUAAGUCCCGUAACGAGCGCAACCCUUGUCCUUAGUUGCCAGCGAGUAAAGUCGGGAACUCUAAGGAGACUGCCGGUGACAAACCGGAGGAAGGUGGGGACGACGUCAAGUCAUCAUGGCCCUUACGGGGUGGGCUACACACGUGCUACAAUGGCCGGUACAGACGGUUGCAAACCCGCGAGGGGGAGCCAAUCCGAGAAAACCGGUCGUAGUCCGGAUCGCAGUCUGCAACUCGACUGCGUGAAGUCGGAAUCGCUAGUAAUCGCGGAUCAGAAUGCCGCGGUGAAUACGUUCCCGGGCCUU